RNAcentral lists this unclassified non-coding RNA (336 nucleotides) under soil metagenome. RNAcentral's name for it is "partial contains 5.8S ribosomal RNA, internal transcribed spacer 2, and large subunit ribosomal RNA". The stretch from base 1 to 120 matches the Rfam family "5.8S ribosomal RNA", at positions 35 to 154 of the family's 154-position model. The record is from RNAcentral.
GAUGAAGAACGUAGCGAAAUGCGAUAAGUAGUGUGAAUUGCAGAAUUCAGUGAAUCAUCGAAUCUUUGAACGCAAAUUGCGCCCCUUGGUAUUCCAUGGGGCAUGCCUGUUCGAGCGUCAUUUGUGCCUUCAAGCUUUGCUUGGUGUUGGGUGUUUGUCUCGCCUUUGCGUGUAGACUCGCCUUAAAAUAAUUGGCAGCCGGCGUAUUGAUUUCGGAGCGCAGUACAUCUCGCGCUUUGCACUCAUAACGACAGCGUCCAAAAGUACAUUUUACACUCUUGACCUCGGAUCAGGUAGGGAUACCCGCUGAACUUAAGCAUAUCAAUAAGCGGAGGA